GCCUACGGGGCGCAGCAGUGAGGAAUAUUGGUCAAUGGGCUUACGCCUGAACCAGCCAAGUCGCGUGAGGGAAGACUGCCCUAUGGGUUGUAAACCUCUUUUGUCAGGGAGCAACGCCGGCUACGUGUAGCCGGACUGAGAGUACCUGAAGAAAAAGCAUCGGCUAACUCCGUGCCAGCAGCCGCGGUAAUACGAAGGGGGCAAGCGUUGUUCGGAAUUACUGGGCGUAAAGGGAGUGUAGGCGGUUUAGUAAGAUAGUGGUGAAAUCCCAGAGCUUAACUUUGGAAUUGCCAUUAUAACUAUUU
This 305-nucleotide ribosomal RNA is filed under the name uncultured bacterium. RNAcentral's name for it is "bacterial SSU rRNA". It matches the Rfam family "Bacterial small subunit ribosomal RNA", at positions 337 to 638 of the family's 1533-position model. The record is from RNAcentral.